This 420-nucleotide ribosomal RNA is filed under the name uncultured archaeon. RNAcentral describes it as "partial 16S ribosomal RNA". It matches the Rfam family "Archaeal small subunit ribosomal RNA", at positions 323 to 746 of the family's 1478-position model. The record is from RNAcentral.
CUACGGGCCGCAGCAGUCGAGGAAAUUUUACAAUGCUCGCAAGAGUGAUAAAAUAAACCAGAGUGUUUCUCCUAGAGAAACUUUUGCCUAAUGUAAAAAGUUAGGCGAAUAAGGACUGGGCAAGACCGGUGCCAGCCGCCGCGGUAAUACCGGCGGUCCAAGUCGUAUCCACAUUUAUUGGGUCUAAAACAUUCGUAGCUUGUUUAACAAGUUUCUUGUGAAAUCUGACAUCUCAAGUGUCAGGCGUGCAAGAAAUACUGUUUUACUAGAGACCGGAAGAUGCAAAGAGUAUGAUUAAGGUAGCGGUAAAAUGUGUUAAUCUUAAUCAGACUAACAAUGGCGAAGGCACUUUGCAAGUACGGAUCUGACAGUGAGGAAUGAAGGCCAGGGGCGCAAAAGGGAUUAGAUACCCUAGUAGUC